GCGGGCACGUUAAACGGACCGAGGGCCACGCCCCGGCCACACGGUCCUCAGCGUCCGUGUUGGUUUACCACCUGAGCACAACUGUCGCUUUUGAAACGAAAAUUUACAACCAGUAGCACUGGAUCCCUUGGCACGUCAUUCGAUGAAGAACGUAGCAAUCUGCGAUAAGUGGUGUGAUAUGCAAGUCCACAGCUUAUACGUGAACCAUCGAAUCUUUGAACGCACUGCACUAUCCGGACGACACCCCCGUGAUAGUAUGCCCCAUUGAGCGUUAUUUGUUCGUUCGGACGUCACCUUUGCCGGUGGCGGACGAGUUCGAGGUUCACACCCUUCCCGGUGCGCUCCUUGAGAUGCAUUAAGGGGCCGUCAAACGGUCAAUCCCAUCCCGCACUGUGAUGAUUUUGCAGUUCGCGUGUGGCGGCGAUCGUCGUGCGGCCUCUGACAACCGCCGCAAGGCAAACCCGGUGCCGUCGGAGCUCCUCCGUCGCGCCCACCCUUCGUACAUAACCUCAGUGGGGUAGGACAACCCGCUAGACUUAAGCAUAUUAAUCAGCGGAGGAAAAGAAACUAACAAGGAUUCCCCCAGUAACUGCGAGUGAAGAGGGAACGGCUCAACGUGUGAAUCUGGCCGGGAGUAACCCUCGGUCCAGAGUUGUGCACUGUAGACGUCGGUUUCUGCGCUUGAAUUCCAGUUGUCAGUCCCAAGUCGGAUGAAACACCGCGUCACAGAAGGUCAUAGCCCUGUGUCUGACUGUGCUUGAAUUUGCGCCAAUGACCGCACGUUCGUCGAGUCGCGUAGUUUUGUAAUGCUGCGCCAAUUGGGAGGUGGAACCCUUCUAAAGCUAAAUAUGAUGACGUGACCGAUAGCAAACAAGUACCGCGAGGGAAAGGUGAAAAGCAACCAUGUAGAAUGCGUUGAAACAGCAGUGAAAGUGCUACUGGGAUAAGGGCUAUCGACUGCUGGUCUCUUGGCGGCGUGCUUCAGUGCUGCCCCGGGAGCGGCUCGCGCCGAUUGGAAACGGGAGAUGCGCUUGGGGUUGAAUUCGGCCAAUGGCUUGCCAUCGGUGUUGUAGCUCCCCAAAGACUUGAGCCCGA
Molecule: ribosomal RNA, 1095 nt
Filed under: uncultured Tulasnellaceae
Lineage: Eukaryota; Fungi; Basidiomycota; Agaricomycetes; Cantharellales; Tulasnellaceae
Description: eukaryotic LSU rRNA
Rfam family: Eukaryotic large subunit ribosomal RNA (bases 504-1095)
Source: RNAcentral